UACGGAGGGGGCUAGCGUUGUUCGGAAUUACUGGGCGUAAAGCGCACGUAGGCGGCUUUGUAAGUUAGAGGUGAAAGCCCGGAGCUUAACUCCGGAAUUGCCUUUAAGACUGCAUCGCUAGAAUUGUGGAGAGGUAAGUGGAAUUCCGAGUGUAGAGGUGAAAUUCGUAGAUAUUCGGAAGAACACCAGUGGCGAAGGCGGCUCACUGGACCGGCAUUGACGCUGAGGUGCGAAAGCGUGGGGAGCAAACAGG
RNAcentral lists this ribosomal RNA (253 nucleotides) under uncultured bacterium. RNAcentral describes it as "partial 16S ribosomal RNA". It matches the Rfam family "Bacterial small subunit ribosomal RNA", at positions 524 to 776 of the family's 1533-position model. The record is from RNAcentral.